Molecule: non-coding RNA, 823 nt
Filed under: Hemigrapsus takanoi
Lineage: Eukaryota; Metazoa; Arthropoda; Malacostraca; Decapoda; Varunidae
Source: RNAcentral
CAAAUGUUUGAUUUUAGCUUAAAUUUUUACAUUAUUAUUAAGUUGCAUGAAAGUCGAAGCGUGAUUUAAAAUAACUUGAUUUAAUAUCGGUAUAAGCCUCAUGGAGAAGAAAAAUUAUGAAACUUUAUGAUCUCAGCAUAAAAUAUUGUAAGGAAUAUAUUAAAAUAUGAUAUAGUAAUAAUAAUAAAAUCUGAUAUAUAUUUGUGCCAGCAUUCGCGGUUAUACUUUAAGGUUAAGUAAAAAGCUUAAGGUCUUAGUUAAAUGUUUAAUCUUAUAAAUUAAUAUAAAUAAUAAAGGGUAAAAUCAGAAUAUUAUUUUGUAAAUACAAAGAUUAGAGUUGAAGCUAAAAAAGUUUAGUAAUAAACUAGGAUUAGAUACCCUAUUAUUCUAAAAUAAAUUUACCUAAACUAAAUUAGUAAGAGAUAAGUACUUAAAAUUUAAAAAAUUUGGCGGCAAUUUAAUCUUUUCAGAGGAACCUGUUUUAGAAUCGAUAAACCACGAAAAAUCUUACUUGUUCUAGUAAAAUCCAGUUUGUAUACCAUCAUUAUUAGAUAAUUCUUAAAGGAAAAAUUAUUAGAUUUAAUUAUUUAUUAAAAUUAGAUCAUGGUGCAGUCUAUGAGCAAGGUAAAAUGGGUUACAAUAAAUUAUUUUAUGGCGGAUUAAUAAUAGAAAAUUAUUAUAAAGAAGGAUUUGAUUGUAUCGUUAUUUUAAUAAGUUAGCGAGAUAUAAGUUCUAAAUUGUGUACAUAUCGCCCGUCGCUUUCAUUUAUAAGUGAAAUAAGUCGUAACAUAGUAGAUGUACUGGAAAGUGUAUCUAGUAGAAU